Molecule: long non-coding RNA, 520 nt
Organism: Apis mellifera (honey bee)
Lineage: Eukaryota; Metazoa; Arthropoda; Insecta; Hymenoptera; Apidae
Exons: 2
Source: RefSeq, a predicted model, not a curated record
GCCGUGUAGAUGCGGAGGCCUUACUGCGUUCUGUUCCUGAUCCUGUGAUCCUUUUAGAUAGAAUGCCUCAAAUUGACCUUCUGGUAGCAGAAUAUCCUUAAGCGAUUUGUCAUUCGGAUCAUAGGCGAUUCCAUUUGUGACCAAAGAAAUUAAAAGGGAAAUACACUGGAAUUGUAAAAAUAAUUCUAGGUUAUGGUACAUGAUACAAUUGAUUGAUAUAACCUCGAUAAUAAUUUCCAAAAUUAGGAAAAAAGAGUCUUAAUAUUACGAAAAUCAGUUCUUGACUUUGAAGAUCGAAUUUAUUAUGGCCUUGUUAUAUCAUGUUAAUAGCAUUUUUCAAUCUUAUAUUUUCAAAAUUGAAAAUGAUUCUGAUAAAAGAAAACGUAAGUAUUUAAAUUUUAAUUAUAAAUACAUACCAUAAAGAUGAAAGAAUUUACUGCCAUACUUCGAUCCGUAUUCAAAAUUGAUCGAAGCUCUGUAAUUAUGAAAAGUAUUAUAAAUGUGCGUAAAAUAAAAGAUA